RNAcentral lists this transfer RNA (72 nucleotides) under Candidatus Staskawiczbacteria bacterium. Its description in RNAcentral is "tRNA-Thr". It matches the Rfam family "tRNA". From Rfam's summary of the family: Transfer RNA (tRNA) molecules are approximately 80 nucleotides in length. Their secondary structure includes four short double-helical elements and three loops (D, anti-codon, and T loops). Further hydrogen bonds mediate the characteristic L-shaped molecular structure. tRNAs have two regions of fundamental functional importance: the anti-codon, which is responsible for specific mRNA codon recognition, and the 3' end, to which the tRNAs corresponding amino acid is attached (by aminoacyl-tRNA synthetases). tRNAs cope with the degeneracy of the genetic code in two manners: having more than one tRNA (with a specific anti-codon) for a particular amino acid; and 'wobble' base-pairing, i.e. permitting non-standard base-pairing at the 3rd anti-codon position. RNAcentral also lists the same sequence under 1 other name. The record is from RNAcentral. Lineage: Bacteria; Candidatus Staskawicziibacteriota.
GCCGAUGUAGCUCAGUGGUAGAGCAUUUCCAUGGUAAGGAAAAGGUCGUGGGUCCAAUUCCCACCAUCGGCU